RNAcentral lists this ribosomal RNA (252 nucleotides) under uncultured bacterium. Its description in RNAcentral is "partial 16S ribosomal RNA". It matches the Rfam family "Bacterial small subunit ribosomal RNA", at positions 524 to 776 of the family's 1533-position model. The record is from RNAcentral.
UACGGGGGGGCAAGCGUUGUUCGGAAUUACUGGGCGUAAAGGGUUCGUAGGUGGCCAACUAAGUCAUACGUGAAAUCCCUCAGCUUAACUGGGGAACUGCGUCCGAUACUGGAUGGCUUGAGUUUGGGAGAGGGAUGCGGAAUUCCAGGUGUAGCGGUGAAAUGCGUAGAUAUCUGGAGGAACACCGGUGGCGAAGGCGGCAUCCUGGACCAACACUGACACUGAGGAGCGAAAGCCAGGGGAGCAAACGGG